RNAcentral lists this ribosomal RNA (207 nucleotides) under uncultured bacterium. Its description in RNAcentral is "partial 16S ribosomal RNA". It matches the Rfam family "Bacterial small subunit ribosomal RNA", at positions 1292 to 1500 of the family's 1533-position model. The record is from RNAcentral.
UUCGGAUUGUAGGCUGCAACUCGCCUACAUGAAGCUGGAAUUGCUAGUAAUCAUAGGUCAGCAUACUAUGGUGAAUACGUUCCCGGGCCUUGUACACACCGCCCGUCACACCAUGAGAGUUGAGAAUACCCGAAGCCUGUGAGCUAACGAAAGAGGCAGCAGUCGAAGGUAGAAUCAAUGAUUGGGGUGAAGUCGUAACAAGGUAGC